Molecule: long non-coding RNA, 2710 nt
Organism: Bos taurus (domestic cattle)
Lineage: Eukaryota; Metazoa; Chordata; Mammalia; Artiodactyla; Bovidae
Source: Ensembl
CCGUAGACAGGGGCUGUCGUGCGCCCUCUCGCGGCUGUGGGCCGACGGCGCCCCGGAGUGCACGCUCAUGGCGGCGCAUGGCACUGUGAAUCACCAAAGAGAUUCCUAAACCUUAUGUCUGUGACACCUAUAUGAAGAGGUAAUGAUUGGACUCACUGUGUACAGCAGGGCAGUCAAGAAGCACCAAGGACCCUGAGAGCAGUCUUCAACCAAUGACACUUGAAAACUGAAGGAUAAAUACAUAUGCCAAGUGUGGUAGGCUGAAGAAUAUCCUCUGAAGAUAUCAGGCCCUGAAACUGGUGAAUUUUGUGUUUUAGAGCCAAAGGGAAACUAGGCAGAGGGGGAUUUCACGCAGAUGGAAGAGGAGGAGACCUUGUGGCCACAGAAGCGGACAGUGCAGUGAUGUAACCACAAGUCAAGGAGAGCCAGCAGCCACCAGAAGCAGGAAGAGGCAAGGAGCAGACUGUCCCGUGGAGCCUCUGGAGGCAGGAUGGCCCUGCUGACUGCAUGAUUCCAAGGAUACUGAUUUCGAACUUUUGGCCUCUAGACCUGUGAGAGAAUAAGUUUUCAUUGUUUUCAGCUACCAAAUUUGUGGCGAUUGUCACAGUGACCACAGAACACUAAUAUACCAAUAUUUAUACCCAUAAGUACACCAAUGUCCUCACUUCUCAAAAGCAGAACAACUCUGAGGCAUCUUCUGUUGUCUCCAGGAGUCUGCAGCAGAGUUGAGCCCUACCUUUAGGGUUACCCACCCAUCAGCCUACUCUGUUAUUGACUUUCUCUUCUCAGUCUCGCUUGCUUAUUCUUCCAUCAGUGGUUCCAGGUCUCUCCUUCAAUACAAACCACAUACUCUCAAAUCCUUCUGUAUGAGUUUCUUGGAGUUGCUAUAACAAAGUACCAUAAACUGUGUGGCUUAUAACAAAAAAAAUUUAUUCUCACAGUUCUGGAGGCCAGAAGUUGGAAAUACAAUAAAGGUGUUGAUUCAGUUGGUUCCUCUUCAGGCCUCUGAGAAGUCUGUUUCAUGCUUCUUUCCUAGCUUUUGGUGAUGGCUGGCAAUUCAUGGCAUUCUCUGGUUUGUAAAUGCGUCUCUCCUAUCUCUGCCUCCAUCUUUACAUAGCAUUCUCCCCUGUCUCUGUGUCUUCAUGUGGCCAUCUUCCCCUCAUGUAAGAACACUAGUUAUAUUGGAUCAAGGACCCAGUUUCAUGACAUUAUCACAACUUGGUAACAUCUGUAAAGAUCCUAUGCCCAAAUAAAGUCACAUUUCUACAUACUGGGGAUAAGAAUUAUAACAUCUUUUGUAAGGCACAUACUUCAACUCAUAACACCUUGACUCAGUGUCAAAUAUGGGGACCCCUAACCUAAGACAAUUAUCACUUAAUAAGCAUUUUUAUUUCCAAAGCAUAAGCAUUUUUAUUUCCCUAAAUAUAAUUAUUUUUCUUCAGUAAUCUUAUGAUAUUGUGUCUAUUUCAAAGUUAAUAAAUCUGAGGAUUAGAUAUUAUGGUGUAGUCAAGUCUGUGUUUUACCAGGCAGGAAAUGUAAUAAGAUGCCAGUUCUACCAGUGGGAGUGGUUUUCAGCAAAAGAGAUCAAAUACCUUAAGCUUUUUCUUUUUUCCCCCCCUCAUCUGCAAUAUUAUAGAUCAGGAAACAAAGAGGGAUUUUCCUAGGGUUGUGAUAAUCUUUUCUAUUUGAGAUUUUGUUGAUAAAUUUAAUGUCUAAGACCUGAUGUUUCCUCUUUCUUUACUUGAAUUGUCUGUUCAGAGCCACUCUUGUUUAUUCAUUGCUUUCCAGAAUCUUUGGGGAAGGGGGAGUAGACUCCACACACAAAGUCAUGUCCAGUUUCUGAUAAUCCCUUUGGCAGCAAUAGUUGCUCACUCUCUGUACCAGCCUCUGCUAGGAGCUCUCUGUGAAAGAGUGUUCUACAAAACAAGGACACAUUGUCUCUGCCUCUAUUCUAAAGCUGCUGGUAAGUACCCUGCACAGGGAAGAGACCAUAAGAUGAAACUAACAUCUUAGAUACCUUGUAUAUCACAAUGUGCCCCGGCUUAUUCUAAUAUUCUCUACUUCAUCUUUCACCAAAGGCCAAGUCCUUUCUCUGAUUACAAGUUUGGAAAUACUUCCACUUACGGGCUUAUCCACAUAUAGUCCCAAAACCUGCUUAGGUGGCAUUUAUGCUUCUGAUUGCUUCCCUUCCUUUUAUAAGCUGAUACUGCUGAUUAUUAUUUUUUUAAUUAUUUAUUUGGCUGUACCCAGAGUUGUGGGCUUCCCAGGUGGCACUACUGGUAAAGAAUCUGCCUGCCAGUGCCUGAGACUCAAGAGACCUGCAUUCUAUUCCUGGGUCAGGAAGAUCCCCUGGAGAAGGAAAUGGCAACCCACUCUAGUAUUCUUGCCUAGAAAAUUCCAUGGACAGAAGAUCCUGGUGGGCUACAGUCCAUGGUGUCGUGAAGAGUCGGACACGACUGAGCACACACACACAUUCUACAUACCCCGUCUUAGUUGCAGCAGGUGGCAGCUUCUAUCUUCGUUUGCAGCUUGUGGGAUCUUUAGUUGAUUAGUUGCGGCAUUCGAACUCUUAGUUGUGACAUAUUGGGAUCUAGUUCCCUGACCAGGGAUCAAACUCAGGCCCCCUACAUUGAAAGCAUGGAGUCUUAGCCGCUGAAGCACCAGGGAAGUCUGUGUUGCUAAUAAUUAAAAUCCUCUCAGGUGAAUAAAU